RNAcentral lists this long non-coding RNA (1876 nucleotides) under Fragaria vesca (wild strawberry). RNAcentral's name for it is "long non-coding RNA (FVES_LNC001464)". The record is from RNAcentral. Lineage: Eukaryota; Viridiplantae; Streptophyta; Magnoliopsida; Rosales; Rosaceae.
UUUCGUCGGCUAAAGUGCCUUAUAUUUACAGAUCUAGACAACAACUCAUCUGAGAAAAAAAACUAUACGUAGAACCUUCAAACGCAAAAAAGUCGUGAAAUAAGAUAUGACCAGAAUGGUGAAAUACGUCUACGGUUGAAAAAUCAUAGUAUUCCGGUAAAGUCUCGGUGCCGAUAGUUGACUUACCCUUAUUAUUCACUAUGCUGCAGAUUUGGCGUUUGGUGUCUGAUUGACUAUUGUGAUACCUUUCCGGAAGCGUAACAGCGCUACGAGUCAAACUCAUCGCUAAUGCCAUGAUGUAUAGGCUUUUUUGGCCAUCUGAGUCCGUUUAGGGCUUCAAAAUGCAGUUUUCUUAUUUUCGAUUAGAGUUGACCCUUUCGAUCGAGCCCUUAACGUUGUCGGAUCCAGUUGAAUUUUUUACCAUAGACAUCUUUCGUCAUAAUGAUCAUAUCUGACGGUCGAAUUUUGGUUUGUGAAUUUUAGUCAUCGGAAUCACAACGUGUCUACUAUUUACCGUUAUUCGGGUUUAUGGGGAGCCCUAUCGUCGGAAGGUAAAUGUGUCAAAAUUUUUAUAUGGGCAGUUUCGUCUCAUCUACGUGAGAGUUUUUUGUGUGGAAGGUUUGACCAAACUACGUAAUAUAGAGGGAGAUAUGAGCGUUUUCGUGUGAUAAGUGACGAUGGAUUAUGGUUGACCGUUUCGAUCGAGCCCUUAACGUUGUCGGAUCCAGUUGAAUUUUUUACCAUAGACAUAUUUCGACAUAAUGAUCAUAUCUGACGGUCGAAUUUUGGUUUGUGAAUUUUAGUCAUCGGAAUCACAACGUGUCUACUAAUGUUGUAUAACUUGUUUAGUAGGUUAUACAACUUUGUGAACCAACUCUACAUAGGAAGCAAAAUUAUGAAAAAUCUCGUGAAAUAAGAUGUGUUCAAAAUGGUGAAAUACUGCUAUGGUUCAAAAAUCACGUAAAUCGGGUAAAGUCUUGGAGCCGAUAGUAGCGGUCAACCCUAUUUACCGUUAUUAUUCCUUAUGGGGAGCCCUAUUGUCGGAAGGUAAAUGUCUCAAAAUUUUUAUAUGGGCAGUUGCGUCUCAUCUACGUGAGAGUUUUUUGUGUGGAAGGUUUGACCAAAUUACGUAAUAUAGGGGGAGAUAUGAGCGUUUUCGUGAAUUUAUAGACUUUAGCCGACGAAAAUAUAUGAAAAGUCGUCGGCUAAGGUCAAAAAAUUUCAAAAUUUUUUAGGCGGUAAACCAAAGUUGGAGGAAAAUUUUCAAAGGACUUUAGCCGACGAAAAUAUAUGAAAAGUCGUCGGCUAAAGUCGAAAAAUUUUCAAAAUUUUCAACCAAAAUUUUCAAAAGAGUUUAGCCGACGAAAAUAAAGAAUUUCGUCGGCUAAAGUUCUUUAUAUAGGCGAAGAUGGAUGGUAAGAAGUCUAUUAUCUGCCAGAUUUUCUUCUCGGCCUAGCUCCGCCGUCAAGCCAUCGGAGACCGUCACACUUGUCCCAAAAGCUUCGCCGUCGUCUCUACUUCAUUGCUGGAUAGGUGGUGCAUCGAGUGGCGCCGCCGUGAGGGAUAAAUCGAGCUCCAAAACUCCGCCGGUUCGGAUUCGGUGUCGAUCAAAUUUCUCCUUCCUUAGGUCACCAUUUGGUGAGUUCUAUAUAUGGAUAAGUUGAGUUUGAUUAGUACUACAUUCCCCUAGAAUUUGGUAGCUCGAUUCGGUGUGUGUGAAGAGAAUCGAAGAUUUGAAGUUUUUAGGGUUUAAAAUUGGGGAUUUUUAUAUUUUCAGUCGAUUGACCUGUUUAGACUUAGAAUUGAGCUUCGACUUCUUCUACAAAGUUGUUCGAAAUGUUGAGAGGAAGAAUCUGUCAAAUUUUGGUCGUGNNNN